AAACCAACCGGGAUUGCCUCAGUAACGGCGAGUGAAGCGGCAAAAGCUCAAAUUUGAAAUCUGGCACUUUCAGUGUCCGAGUUGUAAUUUGUAGAAGUAGUUUUGGGACUGGUCCUUAUCUAUGUUUCUUGGAACAGGACGUCAUAGAGCGUGAGAACCCCGUAUGAUGAGGCCCCCAGUCCUUUGUAAAACGCUUUCGAAGAGUCGAGUUGUUUGGGAAUGCAGCUCUAAGUGGGUGGUAAAUUCCAUCUAAAGCUAAAUAUUGGCGAGAGACCGAUAGCGAACAAGUACAGUGAUGGAAAGAUGAAAAGAACUUUGAAAAGAGAGUGAAAAAGUACGUGAAAUUGUUGAAAGGGAAGGGCAUUUGAUCAGACAUGGUGUUUUGCGCCCUUUGCUCCUUGUGGGCGAGGAUACGCAGCUCACUGGGCCAACAUCAGUUUUGGGAGCAGGAUAAAUCUGUAGGAACGUAGCUUUCUUCGGGAAGUGUUAUAGCCUAUGGGAAUACUGCUACCUGGGA
Molecule: ribosomal RNA, 517 nt
Filed under: uncultured Hanseniaspora
Lineage: Eukaryota; Fungi; Ascomycota; Saccharomycetes; Saccharomycodales; Saccharomycodaceae
Description: eukaryotic LSU rRNA
Rfam family: Eukaryotic large subunit ribosomal RNA
Source: RNAcentral